AGUGUAUUAGUUUAAUGGUAGAACCUGGUGCUACGGACAUUAAGGUAUGAGUUCGAAUCUUAUAUACACUG
Transfer RNA from Pestalotiopsis fici W106-1, 71 nucleotides. It matches the Rfam family "tRNA". From Rfam's summary of the family: Transfer RNA (tRNA) molecules are approximately 80 nucleotides in length. Their secondary structure includes four short double-helical elements and three loops (D, anti-codon, and T loops). The record is from Rfam. Lineage: Eukaryota; Fungi; Ascomycota; Sordariomycetes; Amphisphaeriales; Sporocadaceae.